GCUUGCUUGGCUCAGCUGGUUAGAGCGCCGGUCUCAUACUAGUGUAUGAACGUCACGUGACGUGCGAUCCGGAGAUCACCAGUUCGAUCCUGGUAGCGAGCA
This is a transfer RNA of Jaapia argillacea, 102 nucleotides long. It matches the Rfam family "tRNA". Rfam says of the family: Transfer RNA (tRNA) molecules are approximately 80 nucleotides in length. Their secondary structure includes four short double-helical elements and three loops (D, anti-codon, and T loops). Lineage: Eukaryota; Fungi; Basidiomycota; Agaricomycetes; Jaapiales; Jaapiaceae. The record is from Rfam.